RNAcentral lists this transfer RNA (62 nucleotides) under Nicrophorus nepalensis. Its description in RNAcentral is "tRNA-Lys". Lineage: Eukaryota; Metazoa; Arthropoda; Insecta; Coleoptera; Silphidae. The record is from RNAcentral.
CACUAGAUGGCUGAAAGUAAGUAAUGGUCUCUUAAACCAAUUUAUAGUAAUUUAACACCUAC